This 388-nucleotide ribosomal RNA is filed under the name uncultured bacterium. Its description in RNAcentral is "bacterial SSU rRNA". It matches the Rfam family "Bacterial small subunit ribosomal RNA", at positions 28 to 417 of the family's 1533-position model. The record is from RNAcentral.
GACGAACGCUGGCGGCGUGCUUAACACAUGCAAGUCGAGCGGUAAGGCCCUUUCGGGGGUACACGAGCGGCGAACGGGUGAGUAACACGUGGGUGACCUGCCCUCAGCUCUGGGAUAAGCCUGGGAAACCGGGUCUAAUACCGGAUAUGACUCCAUGACGCAUGUUGUGGGGUGGAAAGCCUUGUGCGGCUGAGGAUGGGCCCGCGGCCUAUCAGCUUGUUGGUGGGGUGAUGGCCUACCAAGGCGACGACGGUAGCCGGCCUGAGAGGGCGACCGGCCACACUGGGACUGAGACACGGCCCAGACUCCUACGGGAGGCAGCAGUGGGGAAUCUUGCGCAAAUGGGCGAAAGCCUGACGCAGCGACGCCGCGUGAGGGAUGACGGCCU